This is a long non-coding RNA of Monodelphis domestica (gray short-tailed opossum), 2570 nucleotides long. RefSeq lists it as uncharacterized. Lineage: Eukaryota; Metazoa; Chordata; Mammalia; Didelphimorphia; Didelphidae. The record is from RefSeq and is a predicted model, not a curated record.
UCCAUUGCACCACCUAACUCCUUAAUCAGGAUGAGAGUGCAUGGAUGGGUGGUGCCCUUCAUUGCUUCAGUGUUGAACUCACAAAUUGAAGGGAAAGAGUGAAGAAAAGCUUCCAAACAAAUAGAGCUGUCUGAAAAUGGAAUAAGGAAGAUGAUGCCCACCACUUUCUGCACACUGACGUUCACCACUGCUGGAGAGAAAGAGCACGGGGUCUGCGUUCUACCUGGUUGGCAAGAGAACAAGACCCCAGAAAUCUCCCCCCUCAACUCUUCCCCAUAACCAUCAGCUUUCCCUGUUCCUGGUUCCUCAGCUUGCAGGGGCAAGCAAGUAAAGAAGAGUUUCUCUAAGUCAGGCGCUCCCUCUGCCGGCAAAACCCUCAGAACUGUCAUUCGCAGGACUCCCUGGCUCAUUGAGCAUCUUUUACUUACACCCCUCCCAGGGCCCUUUGGGACCCAUCCCAUCUCUUUCUGUCCAUCUUUUUCCAUCCUAUCCCUUUCCAUCUUCCUGUCCCAUCUCCUUUCAACCCUUCCUAUCCCAUCCCACCUCAUCUCUUCCUAUCCAUAUCAUUCCAUCCUUUCCUAUCCCAUCCCUUCCCAUUCCAUCUCAUUCUUUCCCAUUCUGUCCCAUCCCAUUCCUUAUCCACAGGGCUAGAAGGCAAGAGGGGUUUCCACCCCCAAAACUUCCUAGGCGUAUGACCCUGGGCAAGUUACUUAACCUGGCUGCUUCCCUCAUCUGUAUGUAAAAUGAAUUAUGAGAAAUAGUGAAAAAACAAACAAAAAAACUCUUCUAGCUUGAAAUCUAUCAUCAUUUCACAUCUGGUCUCUCAGACCUUGAGUUUCUCUCUCUCUCUCUCUCUCUCUCUCUCUCUCUCUCUCUCUCUCUCUCUCUCUCUCUCUCUUUCCUGUCUCCCCCUCCUCUUUCUCCCUCUCUCUCUUUCCUAUCACGCCUCUCUCUUUCUCUCUCUCUGGCUGUCUCUAUCUCUCUGUUUCUUUCUGUCUCUCUCUGUCUCUCUCCUGUCUCCCCCUCCUCUUUCUCCCUCUCCCCUCUCCCCUCCCUAUUCUCUCUCUCUCUCUCUCUCUCUCUCUCUCUCUCUCUCUCUCUCUCUCUCUCUCUCUCCCUCCAUUCCAUUUAAAUCAAUAAAAUUCAAGUCCACAAACAUGAAAAGUCCUGCUUUUUUCAAAGCAGUGGGGAUAUAGAUGACAAAACAGCAGGAACAUUUCUGCCUUCAAGGAGCUUACAUUCUAAGGAAAUAUAGCGUGGAUGAAUAGAGGGCAAUACAAGCUAUAUACAAAUAAAUUUCAAGUCUGAGAAUACUAACAACUGGGGAAACAGAAAAGGUUUCAUGUGCAAGGUGGCACCUGAGCUGGGCUAUCAAGGAAGCUAAGAGCUUUAUGAGGCAUUGGUGAGGAAGGAGACUGUUUUACAUGAGGCACCACUUUGGAAAAGGGAUGGAGGUGGGAGAUGAUCAUAUAUGGGGAAGAGCUGGCUUGCUAAUCUGACUUGGUAAAAGAAUUGUGAAGGAGAAUUAAUAGGAAGCAUGACUAGAAUUGUGGUUGAGAGCCAUGCUAUUAUUGACCUUAAAUUCCAGGCAAAGGGGCAGCUCAUUGAGCCAAGUCUGUCCUUAGACACUUUCCAGUCCUAUGACCCUGGGCAAGACACUUAACUCUGAUUGCCUAGCUCUUGCCGAUCUUCUGUCUUAGAAAUGAUACUUGGAGAUGAAGCUUGAGAGCCAGACCAAGAGCUAGGAGGUCCUGGGUUCAAAUUUAACCUCUGGCACUUCCUAGUUUUGUGUGACCCUGGGCAAGUCACUUAACUCUGAUUGCCUAGCCCUUACCCCUCUUCUGUCUUAGAACUGAUACUAAAGCAGAAGGUAAAGUUUUAAGAAAAUUCUAGGCAGGAGAUUGCAUUUUAUUUUAGAAUCAAUAGGGAGAUACUAAAAAUUUUGGAGUAGGCAGAUGACAUGGUCAGAUUUAUGCUUUAGGAACAUCACCAUCAAUUUGGUAUCUGUGGGGAAGAUAGAUUGGAGAGGGAAAGACUGAAAGCAGGAAGAACAAAUAGGAGACUCUCACAGUAUUACUAUGGAAAGGGGAGAAGGGCUUGAGCUAGAGCAGCAAGUUGGCACCAUAAUGCAUAAAGUACUGGGCCUGGGGUCAUGAAGACUCAUCUUCUCGAGUUCAAAUCUAAUCAGACACUUAAUAGCCAAGUGACCCUAGGCAAGCCACUUAACCCUGCUUGCCUCAGUUUCCCCAUCUGUAAAAUAAGCUGGAGGAGAAAAUGACAAACCAUUCUAGUAUUGCCAAGAAACCCCCAAAUGGGGUCAUGAAAAGUCAGACAUGACUGAAACGAUUGAAUGAUACCAAAAAGCUUGAGUUAGCAUAGAAGCUGAGUGAAUAGAGGGGGAAAGGGCUAGGUCUAAGAAAUUUUGGAAAAAGAAUUGACAUACUUUGGUAAAUGAUUGAAUGGUGAGGUGAGGGAUAGGGAAAUGUCACCAAAUGUCACAAGCCUACCCCACCUUCCCUUUCUGUCUGUCUGUCUGUGUAUCUCUCUGUCUGUCUGUCUCUCUGUCUGUC